UUUGGUAGUUUCAUAAUAACUUCUCGAAUCGCACUGGCUUGUUGCCAGGCGAUGCUUCAUUCAAAUAUCUGCCCUAUCAACUUUCGAUGGUAGGAUAGUGGCCUACCAUGGUGUUGCAACGGGUAACGGGGAAUAAGGGUUCGAUUCCGGAGAGGGAGCCUGAGAAACGGCUACCACAUCCAAGGAAGGCAGCAGGCGCGCAAAUUACCCAAUCCCGAUACGGGGAGGUAGUGACAAUAAAUAACAAUAUAGGGCUCUUUCGGGUCUUAUAAUUGGAAUGAGUACAAUUUAAAUCUCUUAACGAGGAACAAUUGGAGGGCAAGUCUGGUGCCAGCAAGCCGCGGUAAUUCCAGCUCCAAUAGCGUAUAUUACAGUUGUUGCAGUUAAAAAGCUCGUAGUUGAACUUCAGAUCUGGUUGGGGGGUCCGCUUAACGGCGUGUUACUGCUCGACUGGGUCUUGUCUCUUGGUGAACCGUCGUGUCCUUAGUUGGAUGCUUCGGGGAACCAAGGACUUUUACCUUGAAAAAAUUAGAGUGUCACAGCAGGCCUAUGCCUGGAAUACAUUAGCAUGGAAUAAU
RNAcentral lists this ribosomal RNA (578 nucleotides) under uncultured fungus. Its description in RNAcentral is "bacterial SSU rRNA". It matches the Rfam family "Eukaryotic small subunit ribosomal RNA", at positions 241 to 818 of the family's 1831-position model. Lineage: Eukaryota; Fungi. The record is from RNAcentral.